RNAcentral lists this ribosomal RNA (433 nucleotides) under uncultured bacterium. RNAcentral's name for it is "partial 16S ribosomal RNA". It matches the Rfam family "Bacterial small subunit ribosomal RNA", at positions 29 to 507 of the family's 1533-position model. The record is from RNAcentral.
AACGAACGCUGGCGGCAUGCCUAACACAUGCAAGUCGAACGAGACCUUCGGGUCUAGUGGCGCACGCGUGCGUAACGCGUGGGAACCUUCCCUUAGGUUCGGAAUAACUCCCCGAAAUGGGUGCUAAUACCGGAUAAUGUCUUCUGACCAAACAUUUAUCGCCUUUGUAUGGGCCCGCGUUGGAUUAGCUAGUUGGUAUGGUAAAAGCCUACCAAGGCGACGAUCCAUAGCUGGUCUGAGAGGAUGAUCAGCCACACUGGGACUGAGACACGGCCCAGACUACUACGGGAGGCAGCAGUGGGGAAUAUUGGACAAUGGGCGAAAGCAUGAUCCAGCAAUGCCGCGUGAGUGAUGAAGGCCUUAGGGUUGUAAAGCUCUUUUACCCGGGAUGAUAAUGACAGUACCGGGAGAAUAAGCUCCGGCUAACUCCGUG